RNAcentral lists this ribosomal RNA (253 nucleotides) under uncultured bacterium. Its description in RNAcentral is "partial 16S ribosomal RNA". It matches the Rfam family "Bacterial small subunit ribosomal RNA", at positions 524 to 776 of the family's 1533-position model. The record is from RNAcentral.
UACGGAGGAUCCGAGCGUUAUCCGGAUUUAUUGGGUUUAAAGGGUGCGUAGGCGGCGCGGUAAGUCGGGUGUGAAAUUUCGAGGCUUAACUUCGAAACUGCAUUCGAUACUGCCGUGCUUGAGGACUGGAGAGGAGACUGGAAUUUACGGUGUAGCGGUGAAAUGCGUAGAUAUCGUAAGGAAGACCAGUGGCGAAGGCGGGUCUCUGGACAGUUCCUGACGCUGAGGCACGAAGGCCAGGGGAGCAAACGGG